Molecule: ribosomal RNA, 119 nt
Filed under: Cephalotus follicularis
Lineage: Eukaryota; Viridiplantae; Streptophyta; Magnoliopsida; Oxalidales; Cephalotaceae
Source: RNAcentral
GGGUGCGAUUGUACCAGCACUAAUGCACCGGAUACCAUCAGAACUCCGUAGUUAAGUGUGCUUGGGGGAGAGUAGUAUUGGGAUGGGUGUCCUCCUAGGAAGUCCUCGUGUUCCACCCC